AACUUCUGAAUGUUGACCUCGGAUCAGGUA
This 30-nucleotide ribosomal RNA is filed under the name Fusarium oxysporum. RNAcentral's name for it is "partial 28S ribosomal RNA". Lineage: Eukaryota; Fungi; Ascomycota; Sordariomycetes; Hypocreales; Nectriaceae. The record is from RNAcentral.